UGGGGAAUAUUGCGCAAUGGGGGAAACCCUGACGCAGCGACGCCGCGUGAGCGAAGAAGGCCUUAGGGUUGUAAAGCUCUGUUUUAGGGGACGAAUGUCCAUGUGAGUAACAUGCGCGUGGAAUGACGGUACCCUAAGAGGAAGCCCCGGCUAACUACGUGCCAGCAGCCGCGGUAAGACGUAGGGGGCGAGCGUUGUCCGGAAUUACUGGGCGUAAAGAGCACGUAGGCGGGAACUUAAGUCAGGUGUGAAAGACCGGGGCUCAACUCCGGGGUUGCACUUGAAACUGGGUUUCUUGAGGGCAGGAGAGGAAAGCAGAAUUCCUGGUGUAGCGGUGAAAUGCGUAGAAAUCAGGAGGAAUACCAGUGGCGAAGGCGGCUUUCUGGACUGACCCUGACGCUGAGGUGCGAAAGCGUGGGUAGCAAACAGG
RNAcentral lists this ribosomal RNA (430 nucleotides) under uncultured prokaryote. RNAcentral's name for it is "bacterial SSU rRNA". It matches the Rfam family "Bacterial small subunit ribosomal RNA", at positions 355 to 776 of the family's 1533-position model. The record is from RNAcentral. RNAcentral also lists the same sequence under 1 other name.